This 377-nucleotide ribosomal RNA is filed under the name uncultured eukaryote. RNAcentral's name for it is "partial 18S ribosomal RNA". It matches the Rfam family "Eukaryotic small subunit ribosomal RNA", at positions 592 to 976 of the family's 1831-position model. The record is from RNAcentral.
CAAUAGCGUAUAUUUAAGUUGCUGCAGUUAAAAAGCUCGUAGUUGGAUUUCGGGUGGGAAUGGCCGGUCCGCCGUUUCGGUGUGCACUUGCUACGCCAACCUUGCUGCCGGGGACGUGCUCUUGAGUUCACGCUCGGGACACGGAGUCGGCGAGGUUACUUUGAGUAAAUUAGAGUGUUCAAAGCAGGCCUACGCUCUGAAUACAUUAGCAUGGAAUAACACGAUAGGACUCUGGCCUAUCUUGUUGGUCUGUAGGACCGGAGUAAUGAUUAAGAGGGACAGUCGGGGGCAUUCGUAUUUCAUUGUCAGAGGUGAAAUUCUUGGAUUUAUGAAAGACGAACUACUGCGAAAGCAUUUGCCAAGGAUGUUUUCAUUAA